This 460-nucleotide ribosomal RNA is filed under the name uncultured bacterium. RNAcentral's name for it is "partial 16S ribosomal RNA". It matches the Rfam family "Bacterial small subunit ribosomal RNA", at positions 338 to 795 of the family's 1533-position model. The record is from RNAcentral.
CCUACGGGGGGCAGCAGUGAGGAAUAUUGGUCAAUGGACGAGAGUCUGAACCAGCCAAGUAGCGUGAAGGAUGACUGCCCUAUGGGUUGUAAACUUCUUUUAUCUGGGAAUAAAAUGUUCCACGUGUGGGAUUUUGUAUGUACCAUAUGAAUAAGGAUCGGCUAACUCCGUGCCAGCAGCCGCGGUAAUACGGAGGAUCCGAGCGUUAUCCGGAUUUAUUGGGGUUAAAGGGAGCGUAGGUGGAAUGUUAAGUCAGGUGUGAAAGUUUGCGGCUCAACCGUAAAAUUGCAGUUGAAACUGGCAGUCUUGAGUACAGUAGAGGUAGGCGGAAUUCGUGGUGUAGCGGUGAAAUGCUUAGAUAUCACGAAGAACUCCGAUUGCGAAGGCAGUUCACUGGACUGCAACUGACACUGAGGCUCGAAAGUGUGGGUAUCAAACAGGAUUAGAUACCCGAGUAGUC